This 717-nucleotide ribosomal RNA is filed under the name uncultured archaeon. Its description in RNAcentral is "bacterial SSU rRNA". It matches the Rfam family "Archaeal small subunit ribosomal RNA", at positions 66 to 785 of the family's 1478-position model. The record is from RNAcentral.
UCCUUCGGAGCACCGGCGGACUGCUCAGUAACACGUGGACAACCUACCCUCGGGUGGGGGAUAACCUCGGGAAACUGAGGCUAAUACCCCAUAGGCCUCGGAUACUGGAAGGUUCCGAGACCGAAAGCUCCGGCGCCCGAGGAUGGGUCUGCGGCCUAUCAGGUAGUUGGUGGUGUAAAGGACCACCAAGCCUACGACGGGUACGGGCCCUGAGAGGGGGAGCCCGGAGAUGGACUCUGAGACACGAGUCCAGGCCCUACGGGGCGCAGCAGGCGCGAAACCUUCGCAAUGCGCGAAAGCGCGACGAGGGGAGCCCGAGUGCCCUUCCUUUCGGGAGGGCUUUUCUGGAGCCUAAAAAGCUCCAGGAAUAAGGGCUGGGCAAGACGGGUGCCAGCCGCCGCGGUAAUACCCGCAGCUCGAGUGGUGGCCACUAUUAUUGAGCCUAAAGCGUCCGUAGCCGGACCCGUAAAUCCCUGGGUAAAUCCUGGCGCUCAACGUCAGGAAUUCCGGGGAGACUGCGGGUCUUGGGACCGGGAGAGGCCGGAGGUACUCCCGGGGUAGGGGUAAAAUCCUGUAAUCCCGGGGGGACCACCUGUGGCGAAAGCGUCCGGCUUGAACGGCUCCGACGGUGAGGGACGAAGGCCAGGGGAGCAAACCGGAUUAGAUACCCGGGUAGUCCUGGCUGUAAACGCUGCCCGCUUGGUGUUGUCGGUCUCU